GUCUUUUUGAUUAUAAUUUAAAGUCAAGCCUGCUCUAUGAAAUUUUAAAUGGCCGCAGUAUUUUGACUGUGCAAAGGUAGCAUAAUCAUUAGUUUCUUAAUUAGAAGCUGGAAUGAAGGGUUUAAUGAAAAAAAAACUGUCUUAAUUUAAAAAUUAAAACUUUAUUUUUAAGUUAAAAAGCUUAAAUUUAUUAAAAAGACGAGAAGACCCUAUAGAGUUUAAUAAAUUUAAUUUUAUAAAAUUUUAAGAUUUAAAUAAAUUAUAAAUUUAUGGUUUAUUUUAUUGGGGUGAUAAAAAAAUUUGUAAAACUUUUUAAAAUAUAAGUUCAUUAAUAUAUGAAAUUUUGAUCCUAAGUUUUAGAUUAAAAGAAAAAAUUACCUUAGGGAUAACAGCGUAAUUUUUUUUGAAAGUUCUUAUUGAAAAAAAAGAUUGCGACCUCGAUGUUGGAUUAAAAUUUAAUUUUGGUGUAGAAGCUAAAAUAUUAAGUC
RNAcentral lists this ribosomal RNA (488 nucleotides) under Orchesia sp. ORM1. RNAcentral describes it as "partial 16S ribosomal RNA". The record is from RNAcentral. Lineage: Eukaryota; Metazoa; Arthropoda; Insecta; Coleoptera; Melandryidae.